UACGGAGGGUGCAAGCGUUAUCCGGAUUCAUUGGGUUUAAAGGGUGCGUAGGCGGGGCAGUAAGUCAGUGGUGAAAGCCUGCGGCUUAACCGUAGAACUGCCAUUGAUACUGUUGCCCUUGAGUGCAGGCGAGGUGAGCGGAAUGAGGCAUGUAGCGGUGAAAUGCUUAGAUAUGCCUCAGAACACCUAUUGCGAAGGCAGCUCACUAGACUGUUACUGACGCUGAUGCACGAAAGCGUGGGGAGCGAACAGG
Molecule: unclassified non-coding RNA, 253 nt
Filed under: uncultured Bacteroidales bacterium
Lineage: Bacteria; Pseudomonadati; Bacteroidota; Bacteroidia; Bacteroidales
Description: contains 16S-23S intergenic spacer region
Rfam family: Bacterial small subunit ribosomal RNA
Source: RNAcentral